AUUGAACGCUAGCGGGAUGCCUUACACAUGCAAGUCGAACGAGUGGCGGACGGGUGAGUAAUAUAUAGGAAAGUGCCCAGUAGCGGGGGAUAACUACUCGAAAGAGUAGCUAAUACCGCAUACUAUAGGAGCGGCCGAGAUCGGAUUAGCUAGUUGGUGGGGUAAAGGCUCACCAAGGCGACGAGCCCUAGCUGGUUUGAGAGGACGACCAGCCACACUGGGACUGAACCACGGCCCCAACUCCUUCGGUGGGCAGCAGUGGGGAAUUUUGGAAAAUGGGGGAAACCCUGAGCCAGCCCUCCCGCGUGGUUGAGAAGGCCUUCGGGUUUUAAAGUACUUUUGGCAGGGAAGCGGUUUCUGCCGAAUAAGCACCGGCUAACUACGUUCCAGGAGCCGCGGUAAUUC
Molecule: ribosomal RNA, 405 nt
Filed under: uncultured bacterium
Lineage: Bacteria
Description: partial 16S ribosomal RNA
Rfam family: Bacterial small subunit ribosomal RNA
Source: RNAcentral